This 510-nucleotide ribosomal RNA is filed under the name uncultured bacterium. RNAcentral describes it as "partial 16S ribosomal RNA". It matches the Rfam family "Bacterial small subunit ribosomal RNA", at positions 28 to 507 of the family's 1533-position model. The record is from RNAcentral.
GACGAACGCUGGCGGCGUGCUUAACACAUGCAAGUCGAACGAAGAGCGAUGGACGCUUGCUUCUCUCAAUCUUAGUGGCGAACGGGUGAGUAACGCGUAAUCAACCUGCCCUUCAGAGGGGGACAACAGUUGGAAACGACUGCUAAUACCGCAUACGAUCUAACCUCGGCAUCGAGGAUAGAUGAAAGGUGGCCUCUACAUGUAAGCUAUCACUGAAGGAGGGGAUUGCGUCUGAUUAGCUAGUUGGAGGGGUAACGGCCCACCAAGGCGAUGAUCAGUAGCCGGUCUGAGAGGAUGAACGGCCACAUUGGGACUGAGACACGGCCCGGACUCCUACGGGAGGCAGCAGUGGGGAAUCUUCCGCAAUGGACGAAAGUCUGACGGAGCAACGCCGCGUGAGUGAUGACGGCCUUCGGGUUGUAAAGCUCUGUUAAUCGGGACGAAAGGCCUUCUUGCGAAUAGUUAGAAGGAUUGACGGUACCGGAAGAGAAAGCCACGGCUAACUACGUG